This is a long non-coding RNA of Astatotilapia calliptera (eastern happy), 2856 nucleotides long. Lineage: Eukaryota; Metazoa; Chordata; Actinopteri; Cichliformes; Cichlidae. The record is from Ensembl.
CGAGGAGAGGAGAGAUAUUUUCAGUCUCGCUGUCUUUAUAGCAGAGCUUUUCUCCGGUGAGGGGGCUGGUGAGGAUUAGGGAUCUACGUCGGUCAGGAGGUUGGAUUGAGAGCAGGAGAUAUUCCUUGAAAUGCUGGGGCUGUUUAUUCAUCUCAGGAUAGACGGAUGGAGGAAAGUGAAUGAGGUGGGAGGUAAAAGGCAGAAGAGAAGACAGCCCUGAGGAGCUCAGAACCUACAGUACAAUAUAAUACAGGACGCCUCAGUACGGGACAGGAGUGGCUUUGAACCGGAGAAGCGGGUAUGAAAACGUCUUCAAGGAGGAAGUCAUUCACUGUGUCGCAGGUGACUGGCGGCUCGCAGAGGUCUGCACAAUCAGGUAGGUGGAACACCAGGAGGCACCCAGGAGUUUCCAACCAGCUUUGCUGAGGUAGUUUCUCCAAAAACAUCCCUUCAGAUCCGAGCUAAAUUCCUUGCACCACUUCUGUCAUGGCUCUAGCCGGCUGUGUAACCACACCCUCUGGUGUUCAUCUGGGAAAUUAGCAACUGAACAAAUACAGCCAGCUUCCGUCCUCAAACAGCAGCAGCCUUUGAGCUACACCUGCAUCCACUUUGCUAAAGGAAGCUUGCCAGGCCAUGAAUAUACAAGAAUGUCCUUUUCUGUAUUAAACCUAUUAACAGUGUCAAUCAGAAGACUUGUUGAGUAAAGAACUGCACUCAGAAACUGAUUUCAUUUGGUGACGUAGAUGUUUGUACACAGUCUCUAGCACCAUAUGAAAUCAGUGUUCUGGGAGGUGGACUAUCAGACUCUGUACAUGAAUAAACUGAAAUAUGAUGCCAUGAAAGUAGUUUGAAUUGCAUCCGGUUUCUACUGCCUCGCUGCUCAAAGCUGCUGACUGGCUUCUUAAGUCUUCAUCAAAAUUGUGCCUCAAUUCUUCUGUGAACUCUUUCCCCUGAUGGUAAAUGUAUUAUUGAACUUCUGAUUUUGUUAAAUAAAGAUAAACUUAUAUUUUGUGGUUAUAAAGAAUGUAAUUUUUUAUAUGGGUUUUUGUAUUGUGUUUAAUAAAGGUAAAGAUCAAUAAAGCACACACAAGCAGCUGGAGCUGGGCGAUAUGAGAUUUUUUCAUAUCACGAUAUGUUUUUUUCAUUUCAGGCGAUAACGAUAUCUAUCACGAUAUAAGCCAAAUAACUAUAUUUGUAAGAUUUAAAUGUGCCGUUGCUCACAAGUAAAAUGUGAAAUAAUCAGCAGCUUGUUUUUAUUUAAAUAUUUAUUUCCCAUAAUAAGUUCAACAGGGUAGAUGUACUUAAGGAACAUGAGACUUUUUCAGAUAAAUAAAGGCAAAUAUUGCAAACUACACAAAAGGCAGCCGCUAAAGCGUUUAAGUUUCAAAAUAAAACAAACGAAACAGACUAAAUUGUCAAUUCCACUUAGAAACAAAAUAUUAAUUCUAAAAAUAAAUCUUAGUUUGUUUUACAGAAGAACAGACAAAACUGACUAACUUUUGUCAAUAUCAAAUAAACUGAGAACUAAAAGGAAAUUCUCAAUCUCUCCUUGUUGUAUAGCUGAGCUUUUCAAACAGUUUUAACAGUUACUUUAGUCUGACAAAAGCCGAAUGACGAAUUAGCGCUUCCAGUCAGAGACUGAGGCUACGUCCACACGUACACGGGUAUUUUUGAAAACGGAGAUUUUCCGUUUUCGUUUUAAAAAUAAUCCCGUCCACACAUAAAGGCAGAAAUAAAGGAAAACGCUGCUAUGAACAUGCCAAAGCAGCAGGUGGCGCUAGAUUCCUAACCGUGCAGAAAUGUUGGCCAAUCAGAAGUCUAGAAGCCUCGGUGGGAAAAAGUACACAAAGCUGCGGCAUAGAAGCAGAACAGAGUCGUAUGUGUGGAGGGACAGUAACUGUGUGUAUAUGUAAGCAUUUAAACACUGCAGAGAGUAGAAUUAACAGUAACAGUAUUGUAGAAAUUCAUUUCACCGAAACAAUAACGUGGCGCACAGUGUGACGCAUGCACCAGUUUAUUGUAUUUCCAGACUUGCUUUCGGCACAAUUUACAGUGCACGCUACUCUGUUUUUUGUCAGACUUGAAAUAGCCGAAAUACCUUCACACUACGGAGCUUCUAUGGCUCUUCCGUUCGACAAUCUCUCCGGCACUGGAACCAUCAUCUGUUUUCUCUUCGGUCACGCUCGGUUGAUUUUUCUAGUCGGCACACUCAUUUCCUCCAUUACCCGCUGGCUGCUUCCCAAACAAACACACGUGCGGCUUGGCACUUGUGCUGUAUGUAACAAGUCAUGCGACGUGACGCUGCGGCUGUGAUUGGUUCGGCUCUGCGCUACUUAAUUUGGAUUGGCUGACCUUUUUUUUUUUUUUUUUUUUUAAGAGGACAAGAGCGGCGAGGUCUAUCGCGAUAGCUUAAUUUCUCUAUCGAGUAAAAGUUAUAUCGCGAUACAUAUCGUUAUCGUUCUAUCGCCCAGCUCUACAAGCAGCUACUGCCUAUGUUCUGAAAGAGAUAAUUAUAUCAUUGAUUAAAGUUUCAGUUGCACUCCAUGUUUCUCAUUUCUAUGUGAAAUUAGUUGAAACGACUGGUGAAUGGUGUCCAAGUGAGGACUUGUUAAAGAUAUUUACCAUUUAGAUGCCUUAAAGUCAUUUAACAAUAAUGUCUUUAAUAAAGUAAAAGUUAAAUUAAGGUUUCAUGGAUGAAAUAUUGGGUUUGAUUCUCUUCUCUCCCUGGGCACAUCUGUGUGGAGUUUGAAUGUUCCCUGUGUUUCCAAAGAGCAGGACUCCUCUGGGUGACAAUGCUUUGUUCAUACAAGGAGUCAGAGGAGAAUGGCCAGACUGCUUUGGGCUGAUAUUACAGCA